UACGUAGGUGGCAAGCGUUGUCCGGAAUUAUUGGGCGUAAAGCGCGCGCAGGCGGCCUCUUAAGUCUGAUGUGAAAGCCCCCCGGCUCAACCGGGGAGGGCCAUUGGAAACUGGGAGGCUUGAGUAUAGGAGAGAAGAGUGGAAUUCCACGUGUAGCGGUGAAAUGCGUAGAGAUGUGGAGGAACACCAGUGGCGAAGGCGACUCUUUGGCCUAUAACUGACGCUGGGGCGCGAAAGCGUGGGGAGCAAACAGG
This 254-nucleotide ribosomal RNA is filed under the name uncultured bacterium. RNAcentral's name for it is "partial 16S ribosomal RNA". It matches the Rfam family "Bacterial small subunit ribosomal RNA", at positions 524 to 776 of the family's 1533-position model. The record is from RNAcentral.